Molecule: ribosomal RNA, 443 nt
Filed under: uncultured bacterium
Lineage: Bacteria
Description: partial 16S ribosomal RNA
Rfam family: Bacterial small subunit ribosomal RNA
Source: RNAcentral
CCUACGGGAGGCAGCAGUGGGGAAUAUUGGACAAUGGGGGGAACCCUGAUCCAGCGACGCCGCGUGAGUGAAGAAGUAUUUCGGUAUGUAAAGCUCUAUCAGCAGGGAAGAAAGAAAUGACGGUACCUGACUAAGAAGCCCCGGCUAACUACGUGCCAGCAGCCGCGGUAAUACGGAGGGGGCAAGCGUUAUCCGGAUUUACUGGGUGUAAAGGGAGCGUAGACGGCGAUGCAAGUCUGAAGUGAAAGGCGGGGGCCCAACCCCCGGACUGCUUUGGAAACGGUAUGGCUGGAGUGCAGGAGAGGUAAGUGGAAUUCCUAGUGUAGCGGUGAAAUGCGUAGAUAUUAGGAGGAACACCAGUGGCGAAGGCGGCUUACUGGACUGUAACUGACGUUGAGGCUCGAAAGCGUGGGGAGCAAACAGGAUUAGAUACCCUUGUAGUC